Molecule: ribosomal RNA, 497 nt
Filed under: uncultured bacterium
Lineage: Bacteria
Description: partial 16S ribosomal RNA
Rfam family: Bacterial small subunit ribosomal RNA
Source: RNAcentral
GAUGAACGCUGGCGGCGUGCCUAAUACAUGCAAGUCGAGCGAACGGACGAGAAGCUUGCUUCUCUGAUGUUAGCGGCGGACGGGUGAGUAACACGUGGAUAACCUACCUAUAAGACUGGGAUAACUUCGGGAAACCGGAGCUAAUACCGGAUGAUAUUUUGAACCGCAUGGUUCAAAAGUGAAAGACGGUCUUGCUGUCACUUAUAGAUGGAUCCGCGCUGCAUUAGCUAGUUGGUAAGGUAACGGCUUACCAAGGCAACGAUGCAUAGCCGACCUGAGAGGGUGAUCGGCCACACUGGAACUGAGACACGGCCCAGACUCCUACGGGAGGCAGCAGUAGGGAAUCUUCCGCAAUGGGCGAAAGCCUGACGGAGCAACGCCGCGUGAGUGAUGAAGGUCUUCGGAUCGUAAAACUCUGUUAUUAGGGAAGAACAUAUGUGUAAGUAACUGUGCACUUCUUGACGGUACCUAAUCAGAAAGCCACGGCUAACUACGUG